This 751-nucleotide ribosomal RNA is filed under the name Niallia circulans. RNAcentral's name for it is "bacterial SSU rRNA". It matches the Rfam family "Bacterial small subunit ribosomal RNA", at positions 21 to 757 of the family's 1533-position model. The record is from RNAcentral. Lineage: Bacteria; Bacillati; Bacillota; Bacilli; Caryophanales; Bacillaceae.
GGCUCAGGACGAACGCUGGCGGCGUGCCUAAUACAUGCAAGUCGAGCGGACUUAAAAAGCUUGCUUUUUAAGUUAGCGGCGGACGGGUGAGUAACACGUGGGCAACCUGCCUGUAAGACUGGGAUAACUUCGGGAAACCGGAGCUAAUACCGGAUAAUCCUUUCCUACUCAUGUAGGAAAGCUGAAAGACGGUUUACGCUGUCACUUACAGAUGGGCCCGCGGCGCAUUAGCUAGUUGGUGAGGUAACGGCUCACCAAGGCGACGAUGCGUAGCCGACCUGAGAGGGUGAUCGGCCACACUGGGACUGAGACACGGCCCAGACUCCUACGGGAGGCAGCAGUAGGGAAUCUUCCGCAAUGGACGAAAGUCUGACGGAGCAACGCCGCGUGAGUGAUGAAGGUUUUCGGAUCGUAAAACUCUGUUGUUAGGGAAGAACAAGUACGAGAGUAACUGCUCGUACCUUGACGGUACCUAACCAGAAAGCCACGGCUAACUACGUGCCAGCAGCCGCGGUAAUACGUAGGUGGCAAGCGUUGUCCGGAAUUAUUGGGCGUAAAGCGCGCGCAGGCGGUCCUUUAAGUCUGAUGUGAAAGCCCACGGCUCAACCGUGGAGGGUCAUUGGAAACUGGGGGACUUGAGUGCAGAAGAGAAGAGUGGAAUUCCACGUGUAGCGGUGAAAUGCGUAGAGAUGUGGAGGAACACCAGUGGCGAAGGCGACUCUUUGGUCUGUAACUGACGCUGAGGCGCGAA